CCUACGGGAGGCUGCAGUGGGGAAUAUUGGACAAUGGGCGAAAGCCUGAUCCAGCCAUGCCGCGUGUGUGAAGAAGGCCUUCGGGUUGUAAAGCACUUUCAGUGGGGAAGAAAGCCUUGGGGCUAAUACCCUCGAGGAAGGACAUCACCCACAGAAGAAGCACCGGCUAACUCCGUGCCAGCAGCCGCGGUAAUACGGAGGGUGCGAGCGUUAAUCGGAAUUACUGGGCGGAAAGCGCGCGUAGGCGGUCUGAUAAGCCGGUUGUGAAAGCCCCGGGCUCAACCUGGGAACGGCAUCCGGAACUGUCAGGCUAGAGUGCAGGAGAGGAAGGUAGAAUUCCCGGUGUAGCGGUGAAAUGCGUAGAGAUCGGGAGGAAUACCAGUGGCGAAGGCGGCCUUCUGGACUGACACUGACGCUGAGGUGCGAAAGCGUGGGUAGCAAACAGGAUUAGAUACCCUAGUAGUC
RNAcentral lists this ribosomal RNA (465 nucleotides) under Vreelandella stevensii. RNAcentral's name for it is "partial 16S ribosomal RNA". It matches the Rfam family "Bacterial small subunit ribosomal RNA", at positions 338 to 795 of the family's 1533-position model. Lineage: Bacteria; Pseudomonadati; Pseudomonadota; Gammaproteobacteria; Oceanospirillales; Halomonadaceae. The record is from RNAcentral.